RNAcentral lists this ribosomal RNA (1158 nucleotides) under Bacillus siamensis. Its description in RNAcentral is "bacterial SSU rRNA". It matches the Rfam family "Bacterial small subunit ribosomal RNA", at positions 36 to 1186 of the family's 1533-position model. Lineage: Bacteria; Bacillati; Bacillota; Bacilli; Caryophanales; Bacillaceae. The record is from RNAcentral.
CGGGCGGGGUGCUAUACAUGCAAGUCGAGCGGACAGAUGGGAGCUUGCUCCCUGAUGUUAGCGGCGGACGGGUGAGUAACACGUGGGUAACCUGCCUGUAAGACUGGGAUAACUCCGGGAAACCGGGGCUAAUACCGGAUGGUUGUUUGAACCGCAUGGUUCAGACAUAAAAGGUGGCUUCGGCUACCACUUACAGAUGGACCCGCGGCGCAUUAGCUAGUUGGUGAGGUAACGGCUCACCAAGGCGACGAUGCGUAGCCGACCUGAGAGGGUGAUCGGCCACACUGGGACUGAGACACGGCCCAGACUCCUACGGGAGGCAGCAGUAGGGAAUCUUCCGCAAUGGACGAAAGUCUGACGGAGCAACGCCGCGUGAGUGAUGAAGGUUUUCGGAUCGUAAAGCUCUGUUGUUAGGGAAGAACAAGUGCCGUUCAAAUAGGGCGGCACCUUGACGGUACCUAACCAGAAAGCCACGGCUAACUACGUGCCAGCAGCCGCGGUAAUACGUAGGUGGCAAGCGUUGUCCGGAAUUAUUGGGCGUAAAGGGCUCGCAGGCGGUUUCUUAAGUCUGAUGUGAAAGCCCCCGGCUCAACCGGGGAGGGUCAUUGGAAACUGGGGAACUUGAGUGCAGAAGAGGAGAGUGGAAUUCCACGUGUAGCGGUGAAAUGCGUAGAGAUGUGGAGGAACACCAGUGGCGAAGGCGACUCUCUGGUCUGUAACUGACGCUGAGGAGCGAAAGCGUGGGGAGCGAACAGGAUUAGAUACCCUGGUAGUCCACGCCGUAAACGAUGAGUGCUAAGUGUUAGGGGGUUUCCGCCCCUUAGUGCUGCAGCUAACGCAUUAAGCACUCCGCCUGGGGAGUACGGUCGCAAGACUGAAACUCAAAGGAAUUGACGGGGGCCCGCACAAGCGGUGGAGCAUGUGGUUUAAUUCGAAGCAACGCGAAGAACCUUACCAGGUCUUGACAUCCUCUGACAAUCCUAGAGAUAGGACGUCCCCUUCGGGGGCAGAGUGACAGGUGGUGCAUGGUUGUCGUCAGCUCGUGUCGUGAGAUGUUGGGUAGUCCCGCACGAGCGCACCCUUGAUCUAGUUGCCAGCAUUCAGUUGGGCACUCUAGGUGACUGCCGGUGACAACCGGAGAAGGUGGGGGAUGACGUC